AUGCUCACUUCAACAGCACGUAUACUAAGAUUGAAAUGAUACAGGGAAGAUUAGCAUGGCUCCAGCACAAGGGUGACAUGCAAAUUCAUGAAGCAUUCUAUAUUUUA
Small nuclear RNA from Pteronotus mesoamericanus, 107 nucleotides. The record is from RefSeq and is a predicted model, not a curated record. NCBI's taxonomy places the organism in Eukaryota, Metazoa, Chordata, Mammalia, Chiroptera, Mormoopidae.